This 469-nucleotide ribosomal RNA is filed under the name uncultured bacterium. RNAcentral's name for it is "partial 16S ribosomal RNA". It matches the Rfam family "Bacterial small subunit ribosomal RNA", at positions 28 to 508 of the family's 1533-position model. The record is from RNAcentral.
GACGAACGCUGGCGGCGUGCUUAACACAUGCAAGUCGAACGGAAAGGCCCUGCUUUUGUGGGGUGCUCGAGUGGCGAACGGGUGAGUAACACGUGAGUAACCUGCCCUUGACUUUGGGAUAACUUCAGGAAACUGGGGCUAAUACCGGAUAGGAGCUCCUGCUGCAUGGUGGGGGUUGGAAAGUUUCGGCGGUUGGGGAUGGGCUCGCGGCUUAUCAGCUUGUUGGUGGGGUAGUGGCUUACCAAGGCUUUGACGGGUAGCCGGCCUGAGAGGGUGACCGGCCACAUUGGGACUGAGAUACGGCCCAGACUCCUACGGGAGGCAGCAGUGGGGAAUAUUGCACAAUGGGCGGAAGCCUGAUGCAGCAACGCCGCGUGCGGGAUGACGGCCUUCGGGUUGUAAACCGCUUUCGCCUGUGACGAAGCGUGAGUGACGGUAAUGGGUAAAGAAGCACCGGCUAACUACGUGC